Long non-coding RNA from Carassius auratus (goldfish), 2256 nucleotides. RefSeq lists it as uncharacterized. The transcript has 3 exons. The record is from RefSeq and is a predicted model, not a curated record. NCBI's taxonomy places the organism in Eukaryota, Metazoa, Chordata, Actinopteri, Cypriniformes, Cyprinidae.
AGAUAUAACUGUAAUAUUUCACAGUUAAUUACAUUAUUACCACUUCACAGGCUUUAACUGUGAUAAUUCACAAUAUAAUACCGUAUUUAGACUUUUACUGUGAAAAUAAUGCAGGCGCGGGGCUUUUACAAGAAACUACUGUAAAUGCCAUCUUUUUUGAGUGGCAACUGCGGCAGCGUCAUCAGAGCUCUCUGAUCUACGUGGUCUCAUUCGGUGGAUUCAGACAGCGGUAAGAGUUUAAAUGUCAAACUUUAUCAAUUUGAUGUUUUUUAUAUGAUAGUGCAUGUAAUUUAAAAGUAUGAACCAAAUUAGCGUUAGUUGUAGGUUCUGUUGUCAUGUUUUUGUAACUUAGCUGGAGCAGACUUGCAUCGACAUUUAAGCGUGCAAAUUUGAAUGAAAAGACGUUGGUUGUAGUGUUAAUUAUACCGUAUUAAGUUAACUUAACCGUGUUGAGAUGUCUGAUUAGAUACACCGUCGAACAUUUAACUUUAGCUUUACUUAAAGCUUAUCUUAGUUACUCUAACAGCGUUCUCUCUUUUACCACAGCAUUUUCUACAUUGACCGACGAUAAAUAAAGUUAUACGGUAAGAUGUGGCCUUAAUGUGGGUAUUAUGACAGUUAUUAUCAACUAGAUAAAUUAUGGUGUUUGUGGAUUUGGGCAAAGGUGGAUUAAAUUCAUCUCAAAUUAGUAACUUUAUAAUUUUCUUCCCUUCUGUGUGUGUGAAACGGAGCAACCGUUGUCUUUCUCGUCAACAGAAAAAUGAAGUGCGCAUGUCCAUGUAUUUUUUUUAAUUAUCUUGUCUCUGGAAUUUUCCACUGCCAAAAUAAAUGUUUUGCGUGGCAGUUUUCCCGCUGUUAGACCAAUGUGCACUUAUCUGUGUUUUGCCAGUACAUUAAUGUUGGUUAUAACUAGACAGUCCAAAGUAAUUGCAGUGAUUCGUAUCUGUAGGAUAUACGUUUGUAAUUAUUGUCUUUUAAUCAUCAUCUGGUAAUGGUGUUUGUAUAUACAACUUAAAUACAAACCGUAUAGUUUAGUUUCCAGUAGCCUACAGGGUGGUGAUGUAGCUUUCUAGCUACACUACACACUGUUCAUUUUAAAGUGUGGACGGAGAUCGUAUUCGUUUUAAUUCUCCGUUUCUAAACGAAAACGCAGUAGUGUGGACGGGGCCUUAAUCUGUGUGUCUGUGCUGGAGACCGGACCAGAUUAGACCAGAGACAAAGCUUAAAAAAAGUCAGAAACAACUAGAAAACUGGGUGCUUUAUUGUGAAAAAGAUAUAAGAAAUGAAAUGUUUAUCACAUCAUCUGUGAACGGGUAAUAAUUCUAGGAGGAAGAGUACAAGUAGAAACAGCCAUAGGGAGAUGGACAGGCAACAGGCUCUUACUCCAUCCUCUGCAAACGGAACAUGUAAAUUAUGUAAAUUGUUGUGUGCGAAUGCUUUGCCUAGGUGCUUCUUGGGCAUCAACCCAGAGACGGGCACAAAAUCUAAGAGGCAGAGAGGUCACAUGAACCAGCAAGUCUGCACCCUUAUCAGGAAGCUCAUUGACUUCGAAUGGAUGUCAAUCUAAUUGGAUAGAACCCACACUAUGCAGGUGCCAGCUGCGAGGGAAGGAGCGAGACACCUGCGACCCUCUCUAUUCCCACCUUUUUGUCUUUUCUUACAUCUCUCUCCCUCACUCUCUCUUCUCUGUCUCCUUCUUUCUCUUUUGACACACAUUCCUGUUACCCAGUGUCAAUCCCUGUUGCCCAGUGUUUUAUUCAUGUAAUUAAAUUGUAUUUUAUGUCACUGUUUUUAUCAGUUUUGUUUGGUCCAUCAUUUAUGCUAAAUCACAGUAAUAGAUAGACAUUCACAGUUAUGUACAGUAAUUCUACAGCUGCUUACUGCUAAAUUACAGUAAUAGAUAGACACUAACUAAUUUCACAGUUAAAUACAUGAAUUCUACAGCUGCUUGCUGCUAAAUUACAGUAAUAGAUAGACACUAACUAAUUUCACAGUUAAAUACAUGAAUUCUACAGCUGCUUGCUGCUAAAUUACAGUAAUAGAUAGACACUAACUAAUUUCACAGUUAAAUACAUUAAUUCUACAGCAGCUUACCGCUAAAUCACAGUAAUGCGAUGUCAUAAUUACUGUGAAGUCACAGUAUACAGCUGUCAUUUCACAAUAAUUUACUGUAAAAAUGUUACAGUAACUUACUGUGAAAGUCAUGCAAUUAUUAACCUGCAAUUUAUUGUAAAUUUACAGUCAAAUAAUUAACAG